RNAcentral lists this unclassified non-coding RNA (336 nucleotides) under soil metagenome. RNAcentral describes it as "partial contains 5.8S ribosomal RNA, internal transcribed spacer 2, and large subunit ribosomal RNA". The stretch from base 1 to 120 matches the Rfam family "5.8S ribosomal RNA", at positions 35 to 154 of the family's 154-position model. The record is from RNAcentral.
GUUGAAGAACGCAGCGAAAUGCGAUAAGUAAUGUGAAUUGCAGAAUUCAGUGAAUCAUCGAAUCUUUGAACGCACAUUGCGCCCGCCAGUAUUCUGGCGGGCAUGCCUGUUCGAGCGUCAUUUCAACCAUCAAGCCCCAGGCUUGUGUUGGGGACCUGCGGCUGCCGCAGGCCCUGAAAACCAGUGGCGGGCUCGCUGUCACACCGGGCGUAGUAGAUUUUAUCUCGCUCAGGGCGUGCUGCGGGUUCCGGCCGUUAAAAAGCCUUUUUUACCCAAGGUUGACCUCGGAUCAGGUAGGAAGACCCGCUGAACUUAAGCAUAUCAAUAAGCGGAGGA